This 273-nucleotide ribosomal RNA is filed under the name uncultured bacterium. Its description in RNAcentral is "partial 16S ribosomal RNA". It matches the Rfam family "Bacterial small subunit ribosomal RNA", at positions 524 to 796 of the family's 1533-position model. The record is from RNAcentral.
UACGUAGGGUGCGAGCGUUAAUCGGAAUUACUGGGCGUAAAGGGUGCGCAGGCGGUUUUGUAAGUCAGAUGUGAAAUCCCCGGGCUUAACCUGGGAAUUGCGUUUGAAACUACAAAACUAGAGUGUGGCAGAGGGAGGUGGAAUUCCAUGUGUAGCAGUGAAAUGCGUAGAGAUAUGGAAGAACAUCGAUGGCGAAGGCAGCCUCCUGGGUUAACACUGACGCUCAUGCACGAAAGCGUGGGGAGCAAACAGGAUUAGAAACCCUAGUAGUCC